Molecule: small nucleolar RNA, 71 nt
Organism: Coregonus clupeaformis (lake whitefish)
Lineage: Eukaryota; Metazoa; Chordata; Actinopteri; Salmoniformes; Salmonidae
Source: RefSeq, a predicted model, not a curated record
AUGCAAUGUUUUUAAUUUCUUCACUUGAAAUAUUCAUGAAGUUUUAUUGAGCUUUUUUAACCCUGAGCAUC